ACAGACUUCGAUGAAAUUCAAGGCGUCAUUUAGUGUACUAUAUGUCAUAUUUGUCUUAUCUCUCAAUCUUGUGAGCCGUGAUUUUCAAGCUGCCAUGUAUGCCAUUGUGUCUUGUAUAAUGAUUCUUCUUAUUAUUUUUGAAUGGAAUAAUUAUUCUUAUUGAGGCACUGCCGCUGCCUAAUUUGCUUACAGAAAUAACAUACUAAUUAAUACAGGGAGAGAGUACAAUUUUUUGACACAAUUUGCAGUACCUGUCAGCCUGCCCAUAGGUACUGUAGCUUCCAUUCUUGUUUUCUCUCAUUGAAAUUAUGGAUUUGGAAACUAAUCAUGGAGUGUCUAGAUUGCCUGCUAUAUUACCAAGUGCGUUGAAGGAAAAGCUGCUGCCACUAUUGAUGACCACUCUAGGUGAUAUAAUUCAUGUUUGCUUUGUUGUUUCAGCAGCUUCCUGUAGCAUAUUGGUUCCAUCUUUUUUUUGCAUCAUGGUACAUUAUUCUCAUCUUGAUAUAUAUCAUUUGGUCAACUGAAGAUUUGAGUGCAGGGUAGAAUUCUUGGUUGAUUUUAGAAUUUCGUUGUUGAUUAGUUGGCCAACAGACUUCGAUGAAAUUCAAGGCGUCAUUUAGUGUACUAUAUGUCAUAUUUGUCUUAUCUCUCAAUCUUGUGAGCCGUGAUUUUCAAGCUGCCAUGUAUGCCAUUGUGUCUUGUAUAAUGAUUCUUCUUAUUAUUUUUGAAUGGAAUAAUUAUUCUUAUUGAGGCACUGCCGCUGCCUAAUUUGCUUACAGAAAUAACAUACUAAUUAAUACAGGGAGAGAGUACAAUUUUUUGACACAAUUUGCAGUACCUGUCAGCCUGCCCAUAGUUCCAUCGCACUACGAGGAUGAUCCAUGGCUGGUCACGGACGAUCACCUGCGAGGACGAUUCAUGGCCGGUUGGGGAUGGUCAGUUCCAUCACACUGCGAGGAGAUGAUUCAUGGCCGGUCGAGGAUGGUCACCUGCGCCCGAAGGCCAACCUUAAUACUGGACCUCGAGAGGAGCAUGUGGCCAACCAUGCCGGAGGACGCAGAGGAGUUGUUUGGGAAUGUUAUCAUCAGAGGACCCAAGAAGCAGCCCACCAUGGAUGCAUGGACCAACCACGGAAGUCUAUUCUUGCAAUCCAUCUAUGGCGAGGGUUCAUGACAUACAAGCCAAUAGAUUUGGGGGUCCACUUCCCGGUGAAACAAAUGUUCAUUGCAGACAAUACGAAGAUGAUGAUUGGUACAAUGCGGUGAAUAUAUUAGAAUUUUUAUUCUUCUCUCUCCAUGUCUAUGUUUGUGCUUGAUCAACUGUCCACGCAAUGAUUUUAGUUGUACAAAGUCCUAAGCUGGUCUCACUAGGUCGUACCCAGUGGCGGAGACAGGGGGACCAGCAGGGACCUGGCCCCCCCUAACACCAUGAUUUUGCAUGUAAUUUGCUAUGAACAGUGGCAAAAUUAGUACUAAUUUGCUGCUAAAAAUCUAUUUUUCAACACUUUGGCCCUCCCCAACCUGUUUUAGUAGCACUUGGCCUCCCUUAUAGAUAUGUUCUGGCUCUGCCACUGGUUCGUACUCA
Non-coding RNA from Triticum urartu, 1584 nucleotides. NCBI's taxonomy places the organism in Eukaryota, Viridiplantae, Streptophyta, Magnoliopsida, Poales, Poaceae. The record is from RefSeq and is a predicted model, not a curated record.